This 492-nucleotide ribosomal RNA is filed under the name uncultured bacterium. Its description in RNAcentral is "partial 16S ribosomal RNA". It matches the Rfam family "Bacterial small subunit ribosomal RNA", at positions 29 to 507 of the family's 1533-position model. The record is from RNAcentral.
AGUGAACGCUGGCGGUAGGCCUAACACAUGCAAGUCGAACGGCAGCACAGUAAGAGCUUGCUCUUACGGGUGGCGAGUGGCGGACGGGUGAGGCAUACAUCGGAAUCUACUUUUUCGUGGGGGAUAACGUAGGGAAACUUACGCUAAUACCGCAUACGACCUACGGGUGAAAGCAGGGGAUCUUCGGACCUUGCGCGAUUGAAUGAGCCGAUGUCGGAUUAGCUAGUUGGCGAGGUAAAGGCCCACCAAGGCGACGAUCCGUAGCUGGUCUGAGAGGAUGAUCAGCCACACUGGAACUGAGACACGGUCCAGACUCCUACGGGAGGCAGCAGUGGGGAAUAUUGGACAAUGGGCGCAAGCCUGAUCCAGCCAUACCGCGUGGGUGAAGAAGGCCUUCGGGUUGUAAAGCCCUGUUGUUGGGAAAGAAAAGCAGCAGGUUAAUACCCCGCUGUUCUGACGGUACCCAAAGAAUAAGCACCGGCUAACUUCGUG